Molecule: transfer RNA, 75 nt
Filed under: Bacteroidales bacterium
Lineage: Bacteria; Pseudomonadati; Bacteroidota; Bacteroidia; Bacteroidales
Description: tRNA-Arg
Rfam family: tRNA (bases 7-71)
About the family: Transfer RNA (tRNA) molecules are approximately 80 nucleotides in length. Their secondary structure includes four short double-helical elements and three loops (D, anti-codon, and T loops). Further hydrogen bonds mediate the characteristic L-shaped molecular structure. tRNAs have two regions of fundamental functional importance: the anti-codon, which is responsible for specific mRNA codon recognition, and the 3' end, to which the tRNAs corresponding amino acid is attached (by aminoacyl-tRNA synthetases). tRNAs cope with the degeneracy of the genetic code in two manners: having more than one tRNA (with a specific anti-codon) for a particular amino acid; and 'wobble' base-pairing, i.e. permitting non-standard base-pairing at the 3rd anti-codon position.
Source: RNAcentral
UAGUUAUCCUUAGUUUAAUUGGAAGAACAAUAACCUUCUAAGUUAUUGGUACUGGUUCAAGUCCAGUAGGACUGG